RNAcentral lists this ribosomal RNA (315 nucleotides) under Triticum aestivum (bread wheat). RNAcentral's name for it is "partial small subunit ribosomal RNA". The record is from RNAcentral. Lineage: Eukaryota; Viridiplantae; Streptophyta; Magnoliopsida; Poales; Poaceae.
AUGACUAUCCGUGAUGGUGAAAGCGAUGAGGAAGAAUACGAAUCUGAAGAUGUAGAUGGACAAGAGGUUUGUCAAGAAGAAGGUGAAGAGGUGGUAUGUGUGAUCCAGCGCGUCCUAUGUUCCACACCACAACUCGAUGACACACAACGGAAGAAAAUAUUUGAGAGCAAAUGCAUGGUGAAUGGCAAGGUAUGCAAACUAGUGAUUGAUAGUUGCAGCUGCGAGAAUCUUAUCUCCCAGAAGUUGGUGGACCAUUUAAAGCUUGAACCCCAUGAUCAUCCAAAUGCCUACACUAUUGGAUGGAUGAAGAAAUGA